UAUGACCUCAAGUUAGGUGGGAUGACCUGCUGAGUUUAAGCAUAUCAAUAAGUAGAGGAAAAGUAACUUACCAAGAUUCUUUUAGUAAUGACAAGCGAACUAAGAAGAGCCCAGCUUGAGAAUUAGGCACCCCUGAUGUUUGAAUUAUAGUCUGAAGAAGCAUCAUCACCAGUUGAUCGAGCCUAAGUCCCCUUAAAAGAGGAUAAAUAAGGUGAAAGUCUUAUUGUGCCUGGACUAUAAAGCCACCAAGCGCUAUCUGCAAGUCAAGUUGUUUGGGAAUACAGCCUCAAUCAGGCAGUAAAUUUCAUCCAAGGCUGAAUAUAGGUGAAAGGCCAAUAACAAACAAGUACCAUGAAAGAAAGAUGAAAAGAACUUUGAAAAGAGAGUCAAAGAGUGCUUGAAAUUGUCAAAAAAAAAAACGGAUAGGGGCUGACGAUAUGCCUUAAUUGGAUAUGGAAUGGUAAAAGCUAAUCCGCCAAUCGACUCAAGGCAUAGAUUGAUGUAGGUCAUGAUGAUGGCCUAAGCCCGAACUUUCAAAUUCCUUGUAGAGACGUCAUCAUUACAAUUGUGGAAUGUAGCACGUAUUGUCUCAGUGUUCUCCAACACUGACAUGCUCCUAACGUUGGCCUGCAGACUCCCCAUCCGGCCUAUCUUGAAAUACAGACCAAAGAGUCUGACAUGUGUGUGAGUCAACGGGCUAGAAAACUCGUAAGGUGCAAGGAAGCUGAUUGGUGGGAUCUUUCAUCAGUGCAUCAUCGAUCGAAGAAGGGUUCGAGUGUGAGCAUGUCUGUCAAGACCUAAAAGAUGGUGAACUAUGCCUAAGCAAGGCAAAGCCAGAGAAAACUCUAAUGGAAGCCCACAACGAUACUGACUUGCAAAUCGUUUGUCUGACUUGGGUAUAGGGGCAAAAAACUAAUUGAACCACCUAAUAGAUGGUUCCCUCUAAAGUUUCCCUUAGGAUAGCUAGAGCCCUUAGCUAGUUCUAUCAGGUAAAGCCAAUGAUUAGAGGCUUCAGAGGCAUAAUACCCUCAACCUAUUCUUAAACUUUAAAUAGGUAGGAUGGCAUGGCUACUUCAUUGAGUCACUCCACGGAAUUAAAAGCUCCAAAUGGGUGAUUUUUGGUAAGCAAAACUGGCAAUGUAGGAUAAAUCAAAAGCUGGGUAACGAUGUCCAACUGCGCACUAACCUAGAACCCACAAAGGGUGUUGGUCGAUUAAGACAGCAAGAUGGUGGUCAUAAAAGUCAAAAUUUGCUAAAAAGUGUGUAACAACUCACCUGCUGAAUCAACUAGCCCCAAAAAUGGAUUGCACUUAAGGGCAUAACUUAUACCUAGCCAUCAGGGCAAAGGCCAAGCCCUAAUGAGUAGGAAGGCAUGGCAGUCAUCGCAAAACCCAAGGUGUGAGCCCGGGCAGAGUGACCGUUGAUGCUAAUAUUUGUAGUAGUAGCAAAUAUUCAAAUAAAAACUUUAAAGGUCAAAGAAGGAAAAGGUUCUAUGUGAACAGUACUUGCACAUGGGUUAAUCAAUCCUAAGAGAUAAGGGAAGCAUGUCUAACAACACAUCCAGUGUAGGCUUCAAAAGAGAAUCCGGUUAAAAUUCUUAAACCGAGAUGUGAUAGCUUACGGUAACAUUAGGGAGUCUAGAAACAUCGACGAGGGCCUCGGAAAGAGUUAUCUUUUCUAUUUAAUGGCCUAUCCACCUUAGAAAUGGCUCAGUUGAAGGUAGGGUCUAGCCAUCGAAAAAGCACCAUACGUUGUGUGGUAACCGGUGCACCCUAGGUGACCUUUGAAAAUUUGAAAGAUCGAGUGCCAUCCAUACCUGGUCGUACUCAUAAUUACAUCAAGUAUCCAAGGUGAAUAGCUUCUGGUCGAUGGAAUAAAGUAGGCAAAAAAAGUUGAUAAAAUGGAUCUGUAACCUCAGAAAAAAGAUUGGCUCUGAGGGUUGGGCACGAGGGUCACAAUAUCGAACCUGUCGACUGUCAAUGCAAUGCUUGACUACUCCUACGGUGAAAGCGAGUCACCACAUGUCGAUCGAGGGAUGGACUGGGAACGGCUCCUUCGAAGGCCUUUUUCGAGCAACGAACAGUUGACUUAGAAUUGUUAUAAACAAGGAGAAUCUAAUUGUUUAAUUAAAACAAAGCAUUGUGAUGGUCCAUGCAGAUGCUCACGCAAUGUGAUUUCUGCCUAGUGCUUUAAAUGUCAAAGUGAAAAAAUUCAACCAAUAGUGGGUAAACAAUGGGAGUAACUAUGACUCUCUUAAGGUAGCAACAUGUGUCGUCAUCUAAUUAGUGACACGCAUGAAUGGAUUAGCGAGAUUCUCGCUAUCCCUUUCUACUAUCCAAUGAAACCACAGUCAAAAGAACAGGCUUGGUAGAAUCAACAGAAAAAGAAGAUCCUGUUGAGCUUAACUCUAGUUCGACUUUGUGAAAUGACUUCAGAGGUGUAAGAUAAGUGGGAACCCUCAGGCGCAAUUGAAAUACCAUUACUUUUAAUGCUAUUUUACUUAUUCUAUGAAUUGGAGGCAGGGCACAACCCCUUCUUUUGGACCCAAGGUUGACCUUGGUCUGUUGAUCCAAGUGGAAAACAUUAUCAAGUAAGGAGUUUGGUAGGGGCGGCACAUCUAUUAAAAGAUAACAUAGGUGUCCUAAGAUGAGCUCAACGAGAACAAUCUCAUGUAGAACAAAAGGGUAAAAGGUCGUUUGAUUUUGAUUUUCAGUAUGAAUACAAACUGUGAAAACAUGGCCUAUCGAUCCUUUAAACCUUCAGAAUUUGAAGCUAGAGGUGUUAGAAAAGUUACCACAGGGAUAACUGGCUUAUGGCAACCAAGCGUUCAUAGCGACAUUACUUUUUGAUCCUUCGAUGUCGACUCUUCCUAUCAUUAUGAAGCAGAAUUCACCAAGUGUUGGAUUGUUCACCCACCAAUAAAGAACGUGAGUUAGGUUUAGAUCCUCAUGAGACAGGUUAGUUUUACCCAACUGAUGGUAGCGUCACAAUAGUAAUUCAACCUAGUAUGAAAGGAACUGUUGAUUCGUACAAUUAGUCAUCGCGCUUAGUUGAAAAGCCAGUGGCACAAAGCUAUCAUGCGCUGUAUUAUGACUGAACGCCUUUAAGUCCAACUACGAGCUUUUUAAUGGCAACAACUUAUAAAUAAGUGAUCAAAGCUGGAAUUAUCAUGGCAAUUGGCAUCAGACUUGCCUUCCAAUGGAUCUUUGUUAAAGGAUUUAGAUUGUACUCAUUCCAAUUACCAGACUCAUGGAGCUUGAUAUUGUUAUUUAUUGUCACUACCUCUCUAAGUCAACAUUGGGUAAUUUGCAUGCUGUAACCUUUCUUGGAUGGGUGGUCGUUUCUCA
Molecule: ribosomal RNA, 3347 nt
Filed under: Durio zibethinus
Lineage: Eukaryota; Viridiplantae; Streptophyta; Magnoliopsida; Malvales; Malvaceae
Description: eukaryotic LSU rRNA
Rfam family: Eukaryotic large subunit ribosomal RNA
Source: RNAcentral